This 148-nucleotide transfer RNA is filed under the name Escovopsis weberi. It matches the Rfam family "tRNA". Rfam says of the family: Transfer RNA (tRNA) molecules are approximately 80 nucleotides in length. Their secondary structure includes four short double-helical elements and three loops (D, anti-codon, and T loops). The record is from Rfam by way of RNAcentral. Lineage: Eukaryota; Fungi; Ascomycota; Sordariomycetes; Hypocreales; Hypocreaceae.
GUCUUCGUGGCGCAGUUGGUUAGCGCGUCAGUCUCAUAGUACGUGGCACACGCCGCGGCACAUUCUGUGUGUCGCGGCGCGUGCCACAUAUGAUCCACUCUCAGGGUGGGCCAUCUGAAGGUCGUGAGUUCGAGCCUCACCGAGGACA